RNAcentral lists this ribosomal RNA (411 nucleotides) under Verrucomicrobiota bacterium. Its description in RNAcentral is "Verrucomicrobia bacterium partial 16S ribosomal RNA". It matches the Rfam family "Bacterial small subunit ribosomal RNA", at positions 355 to 776 of the family's 1533-position model. Lineage: Bacteria; Pseudomonadati; Verrucomicrobiota. The record is from RNAcentral.
UGGGGAAUAUUGCACAAUGGACGGAAGUCUGAUGCAGCGACGCCGCGUGGGGGAUGAAGGCUUUCGGGUUGUAAACUCCUUUCAGUACAGAAGAAGCUUUAUUGUGACGGUAUGUGCAGAAGAAGCGCCGGCUAACUACGUGCCAGCAGCCGCGGUAAUACGUAGGGCGCGAGCGUUGUCCGGAAUUAUUGGGCGUAAAGAGCUCGUAGGCGGUUUGUCGCGUCUGCUGUGAAAGACCGGGGCUUAACUCCGGGGCUGCAGUGGGUACGGGCAGGCUGGAGUGCGGUAGGGGUAACCGGAAGUCCUGGUGUAGCGGUGGAAUGCGCAGAUAUCAGGAGGAACACCGAUGGCGAAGGCAGGUUACUGGGCCGUUACUGACGCUGAGGGGCGAAAGCAUGGGGAGCGAACAGG